Molecule: ribosomal RNA, 261 nt
Filed under: uncultured bacterium
Lineage: Bacteria
Description: partial 16S ribosomal RNA
Rfam family: Bacterial small subunit ribosomal RNA
Source: RNAcentral
UGAGUGGCGGACGGGUGAGUAACGCGUGGGCGACCUGGCCUGUACAGGGGGAUAACACUUAGAAAUAGGUGCUAAUACCGCAUAACGGGGGAAGCCGCAUGGCUUUUCCCUGAAAACUCCGGUGGUACAGGAUGGGCCCGCGUCUGAUUAGCCAGUUGGCAGGGUAACGGCCUACCAAAGCGACGAUCAGUAGCCGGCCUGACAGGGCGGACGGCCANACUGGGACUGAGACACGGCCCAGACUCCUACGGGAGGCAGCAG